GGAUGCAUGCAUGCGCGUGUGUGCGAGGGAGAGCGCGAGGGUGCGCGUGUUUGCCUAUGUGCCCGCACCUCCUGGAGAAACAGCAGUGGCAGCAGCGGAAGGAGCUGGGGGAUCAUGCAGCUACCCCAGCCGGUGCCUGCCCCGGCCAGCCAGGCACCCCUCCUUUGGAUGCCAGCCGGCUCUAAGUUCCUCUGCAUCGAGAUGAAUCGCCCAAUCCAGGUGAAGCCAGCAGACAGCGAAGGCCGAGGAGAAGACAGGAAGCUUUUUGUGGGUAUGCUGGGGAAGCAACAGAGUGAAGAUGAUGUCCGGAGGCUCUUCGAACCCUUUGGCCAAAUCGAAGAAUGCACCAUCCUCAGAGGGCCUGAUGGAGCCAGCAAAGGAUGUGCCUUUGUCAAAUAUGGAAGCCAUGCAGAGGCCCAAGCAGCGAUCAGCAGUCUUCAUGGCAGCCAGACCAUGCCGGGAGCAUCCUCGAGCCUGGUUGUGAAGUUUGCCGACACAGACAAGGAAAGGACUCUGCGGCGGAUGCAUCAGAUGGCGGGCCAGCUGGGGAUCUUUAAUCCAAUGACGAUCCAGUUUGGCGCCUACGGAGCAUACACGCAAGCGAUAAUACAGCAGCAGGCAGCCCUGAUGGCUGCAGCACAAGGAACUUGCCUCAACCCGAUGGCGGCCAUCGCGGCGGCCCAGAUGCAACAAAUGGCCGCUUUUAACGUGAGCGGAUUGGUCGCAGCCCCUAUGACGCCCUCAUCAGGUACAAGCACACCUCCAGGGAUCAGCACAGCGCCGGUCCCUAGCAUAGCUACGCCGAUUGGGGUCAAUGGAUUCAGCCCUCUCCCACCACAGACCAAUGGGCAGCCAGCAUCAGAAACAAUUUACACCAAUGGAAUCCAUCCAUACCCAGCUCAAAGUCCCACUGUGGCAGACCCCCUCCAGCAAGCCUAUGCAGGCAUGCAGCACUAUGCAGCAGCAUAUCCAGCCGCCUAUGCACCAAUCAGCCAGGCCUUCCCCCAGCAAGCGCCCAUCAUCCCGCAACAACAGAGAGAAGGUCCCGAAGGCUGUAAUCUCUUCAUUUAUCAUCUGCCCCAGGAGUUUGGGGAUGCUGAGCUCAUGCAGAUGUUCUUGCCAUUUGGCAACGUCAUCUCUGCCAAAGUUUUCGUCGAUCGUGCCACUAACCAAAGUAAAUGCUUUGGUUUCGUCAGUUUUGACAAUCCAACUAGCGCUCAGGCAGCCAUUCAAGCAAUGAACGGCUUCCAGAUCGGCAUGAAGAGGCUAAAAGUCCAACUAAAGCGGCCGAAAGAUGCCAACAGACCCUACUGACCCCCGUUUACUCUGGCCCUGAAAACAGACCAGGCCAAUCAUAGCUCCAAGGAUGAACCCCCACAGUUGCCUAGCAACCCUCUAGCUGUUAUGGGAGGCCCAAAUCAAAAGCUCUCCCUCCCCAAAUGUCUGAAAACUACUGGAUGCCAUGCGGCAUACAAAGAGCGUUCCCCUUGUUCCAUGGGCCGUAUCCAGACUUGUAACUCUCUUUCUUUGCAACAUAUCACGGAGGAGAAGAAGCAGAAGGAGGAGGUGGUGGAAGAAGAGGAGGAGGAGGAGAGAUGCUCGCGAAAAAGAGAGCCAGUUUGGUUGUACCUUAUUUUUUCCUUUCCUUCCUUCCUUUUUUUUUUUUUAAGUUUCAAAUGGGUUGCGGGUUUUUCUUUUUUUAAAAAAAAAAAUCUCUUUCAAGGCAAGAGAAAACAAAGAAGGCGGUUAUGACAAUAAUGGACAAGAAGGGAAAGGCACUGAUGUUGGCUGAUGCAAAGCUCCGCAAGGCGAAGAGGCCGCUGAAGAAGACUCUUUUGUUAAUAAAAGGAGAGAAAAACCUAUUAUCCCUCGCCUCGAGAAGCGUGGGAUUUUUGCAAGAGGAAUAGUUGCAGGCGCCGAGCCUGCUGGUGGGACCAGCCUCCCUCUCUAAAGCGCUUGAGGUUCCAGAAGAGGGAGGCCACACAGAUCUAAACCAAAGCUGCUGGGUUUGGACCAGGCCUGUACGUUACACCCGAGUAACGCUUUUGUUUUUAAAAGGGGGAAAGAAAAAAAAAAGAGAGAGAUUUUUUUUUCCCCCGCACCGCGUCUGUUUGGGAAACGAAAGAGAAAAAAAUCAGUUGCUAAAACGGAUGUUGAACUGAACAGAAGAUAUAUAUAUAAAUAGGUCUAUAUAUCUAUAUCCCAUGGAUUGGGGAGGUGGGAUUUCUCUACCCCACCCAGCCCCCCCAACUGGGGAGA
Pogona vitticeps (central bearded dragon) is the source of this 2259-nucleotide non-coding RNA. The record is from RefSeq and is a predicted model, not a curated record. NCBI's taxonomy places the organism in Eukaryota, Metazoa, Chordata, Lepidosauria, Squamata, Agamidae.